CUGAAUAACUUUGCUGAUCACACAGUCCUAGCACUGGUGACAUAUCUUUCAAGUGUCUGCCCUAUCAACUUUCGAUGGUAUUUUAUGUGCCUACCAUGGUGGUAACGGGUAACGGAAAAUAAGGGUUCGACUCCCGACAGGGAGCCUGAAAAAUGGCUACCACAUCCAAGGAAGGCACCAGGCGCGCAAAUUACCCACUCUCAACUUGAGGAGGUAGUGACAAAAAAUAACAGGACAGCUCUCUAUGAGGUCUGUCAUUGGAAUGGGUACAAUUUAAACCCUUUAACGAGGAUCUAUUGGAGGGCAAGUCUGGUGCCAGCAGCCGCGGUAAUUCCAGCUCCAAUAGCAUAUACCAAUUCUGUUGCUGUUAAAAA
Molecule: ribosomal RNA, 374 nt
Filed under: Nematoda sp.
Lineage: Eukaryota; Metazoa; Nematoda
Description: SSU rRNA
Rfam family: Eukaryotic small subunit ribosomal RNA
Source: RNAcentral